GCAAGUCGAACGGGAAACCCCGCAAGGGUUAGUAUAGUGGCGCACGGGUGAGUAACACGUAGGUGAUCGACCCUUUGGAUGGGAAUAACUCUUAGAAAUGAGAGCUAAUACCAAAUACGAUCAACAAAGAUGAAACUAGUUGAUGAAAGGAUGCCUCUGCUUGCAAGCAUUCACCGAAGGACGGGCCUGCGGAGCAUUAGCUUGUUGGUGGGGUAAUGGCCUACCAAGGCGACGAUGCUUAGCGGAUUUGAGAGAAUGAUC
Molecule: ribosomal RNA, 261 nt
Filed under: uncultured bacterium
Lineage: Bacteria
Description: partial 16S ribosomal RNA
Rfam family: Bacterial small subunit ribosomal RNA
Source: RNAcentral